RNAcentral lists this long non-coding RNA (717 nucleotides) under Trifolium pratense (red clover). Its description in RNAcentral is "long non-coding RNA (TPRA_LNC000816)". Lineage: Eukaryota; Viridiplantae; Streptophyta; Magnoliopsida; Fabales; Fabaceae. The record is from RNAcentral.
AACAUUGGAUUUUCUUUGAAAUAAGAUCUUAGCAAUACAUUAAGAUCCUGAGAAGUCAGAAUCACUCACCAUGAUGAUUCUGAAACAAACCUUCAAAAACAUUAUUACAUCAGUGUCUACUUUUUUUGUACAUCCUUUGUUUAACUUGAUGCUUGACCAGAAGAAAUGUAGUUUAUUGAGUAGUUGAAUAUGUAAAUCUUGGGUUGGUUGAUUGAUGUAAAAAUUCUUGGGUUAGUUUUUACUUAGGACCUCUUGCUGAUAAUAUCUUAUUUUCAUCAUGCAUCCAAGGAAUUGGGUAUGGUUUCUUGCCUUUCCACAUUUCCUGCAAUAUGACACUACUUGGUUUUGAAUCAAUGGAAUCUAAUGUGUUGGUUUGUGCAUGGUUAACUGGACCAAAAAAACAAACCCACUUUGUGGUUCAGGUUUGAUCAAUUGAUCAAACCUUGGGUUGGUUGAUUGAUGUAAAAAUUCUUGGGUUAGUUUUUACUUAGGACCUCUUGCUGAUAAUAUCUUAUUUUCAUCAUGCAUCCAAGGAAUUGGGUUUGGUUUAUUGCCUUUCCACAUUUCCUGCAAUAUGACACUACUUGGUUUUGAAUCAAUGGAAUCUAAUGUGUUGGUUUGUGCAUGGUUAACUGGACCAAAAAAACCAACCCACUUUGUGGUUCAGGUUUGAUCAAUUGAUCAAACCUUGGGUUGGUUGAUUGAUGUAAAAAUNNN